Molecule: ribosomal RNA, 253 nt
Filed under: uncultured bacterium
Lineage: Bacteria
Description: partial 16S ribosomal RNA
Rfam family: Bacterial small subunit ribosomal RNA
Source: RNAcentral
CACGUAGGGUGCGAGCGUUGUCCGGAAUUAUUGGGCGUAAAGAGCUCGUAGGCGGUCUGUCGCGUCGGCUGUGAAAACUCGGGGCUCAACCCCGAGCCUGCAGUCGAUACGGGCAGACUAGAGUGCGGUAGGGGAGACUGGAAUUCCUGGUGUAGCGGUGAAAUGCGUAGAUAUCAGGAGGAACACCUGCGGUGUAGACGGCUUACUGGACCGUAACUGACGCUGAGGCACGAAAGCGUGGGUAGCAAACAGG